GGCUCGUUGGUCUAGGGGUAUGAUUCGCGCUUCGGGUGCGCGAGGUCCCGGGUUCGAAUCCCGGACGAGCCC
Molecule: transfer RNA, 72 nt
Filed under: Capitella teleta
Lineage: Eukaryota; Metazoa; Annelida; Polychaeta; Capitellidae
Description: tRNA-Pro for anticodon CGG
Rfam family: tRNA
About the family: Transfer RNA (tRNA) molecules are approximately 80 nucleotides in length. Their secondary structure includes four short double-helical elements and three loops (D, anti-codon, and T loops).
Source: Rfam by way of RNAcentral